RNAcentral lists this ribosomal RNA (490 nucleotides) under uncultured bacterium. Its description in RNAcentral is "partial 16S ribosomal RNA". It matches the Rfam family "Bacterial small subunit ribosomal RNA", at positions 30 to 507 of the family's 1533-position model. The record is from RNAcentral.
AUUGAACGCUGGCGGCAGGCCUAACACAUGCAAGUCGAACGGUAACAGGAAGCAGCUUGCUGCUUCGCUGACGAGUGGCGGACGGGUGAGUAAUGUCUGGGAAACUGCCUGAUGGAGGGGGAUAACUACUGGAAACGGUAGCUACUACCGCAUAACGUCGCAAGACCAAAGAGGGGGACCUUAGGGCCUCUUGCCAUCGGAUGUGCCCAGGUGGGAUUAGCUAGUAGGUGGGGUAACGGCUCACCUAGUCGACGAUCCCUAGCUGGUCUGAGAGGCUGACCGGCCACACUGGAACUGAGACACGGUCAAGAGUCCUACGGGAGGCAGCAGUCGGGAAUAUUGCACAAUGGGCGCAAGCCUGAUGCAGCGAUGCGGCGUGUAUGAAGAAGGCCUUCGGGUUGUAAAGUAGUUUCAGCGGGGAGGAAGGGAGUAAAGUUAAUACCUUUGGUCAUUGACGUUACCCGGAGAAGAAGCACCGGCUAACUCCGUG